Molecule: unclassified non-coding RNA, 227 nt
Filed under: Glomus sp.
Lineage: Eukaryota; Fungi; Glomeromycota; Glomeromycetes; Glomerales; Glomeraceae
Description: partial contains 5.8S ribosomal RNA and internal transcribed spacer 2
Rfam family: 5.8S ribosomal RNA (bases 1-71)
Source: RNAcentral
GUGAAUCAUCAAAUCUUUGAACGCGAAUUGCACUCUCUGGUAUUCCGGAGAGUAUGCCUGUUUGAGGGGCAGUUUAAAUAAAAAUCGGUGUGGUUGCUGCCUUUCGUGGUGACUCACCGGAUUUGAGUCGUCUUGCCUUCGGUUAAGCGACCUUUAAUUUUGCAUGAUUUUUUUCGAACGUAUUUAAGUGAUUUUACGUACGUUUGCGAUGUCGAAGACUGGCUUUG